Molecule: ribosomal RNA, 253 nt
Filed under: uncultured bacterium
Lineage: Bacteria
Description: partial 16S ribosomal RNA
Rfam family: Bacterial small subunit ribosomal RNA
Source: RNAcentral
UACGUAGGGGGCAAGCGUUGUCCGGAAUCAUUGGGCGUAAAGCGCGUGCAGGCGGCUCGAUAAGUCUGCUGUGAAAGUCCAGGGCUCAACCCUGGGAUGCCGGUGGAUACUGUCGAGCUCGAGUCCGGAAGAGGAGUGUGGAAUUCCUGGUGUAGCGGUGAAAUGCGCAGAUAUCAGGAGGAACACCAAUGGCGAAGGCAGCACUCUGGGACGUGACUGACGCUGAGACGCGAAAGCGUGGGGAGCAAACAGG